This 108-nucleotide ribosomal RNA is filed under the name Nannospalax galili (Upper Galilee mountains blind mole rat). The record is from RNAcentral. Lineage: Eukaryota; Metazoa; Chordata; Mammalia; Rodentia; Spalacidae.
GUCUAUGGCCAUACCACCCUGAACAGCCUGAUCUAGGAAGCUAAGCAGGGUUAGGCCUGGUUAGUACUUGGGUGGGAGAUUUGCAUCUGAGAUGAAAGCUCAUAUACU